This 377-nucleotide ribosomal RNA is filed under the name uncultured eukaryote. RNAcentral describes it as "partial 18S ribosomal RNA". It matches the Rfam family "Eukaryotic small subunit ribosomal RNA", at positions 592 to 975 of the family's 1831-position model. The record is from RNAcentral.
CAAUAGCGUAUAUUAAAGUUGUUGCAGUUAAAAAGCUCGUAGUUGGAUUUCUGUUUUUGGGGUGCGGUCCGCCGCAAGGUGAGCACUGCAAUCCUGGGGACAUCCUCUCGAAGGCGGGUGGUGCACUUAAUUGUGUGCUGCUUGGAUUCGGGACCUUUACUUUGAAAAAAUUAGAGUGUUCAAAGCAGGCGUCGGCUUGAAUACAUUAGCAUGGAAUAAUGGAAUAGGACUUUGGUUCUAUUUUGUUGGUUUCUAGGACCGAAGUAAUGAUUAAUAGGGACAGUUGGGGGCAUUAGUAUUUAAUUGUCAGAGGUGAAAUUCUUGGAUUUAUGAAAGACUAACUACUGCGAAAGCAUUUGCCAAGGAUGUUUUCAUUA